Molecule: ribosomal RNA, 76 nt
Filed under: Fusarium keratoplasticum
Lineage: Eukaryota; Fungi; Ascomycota; Sordariomycetes; Hypocreales; Nectriaceae
Description: partial 28S ribosomal RNA
Rfam family: Eukaryotic large subunit ribosomal RNA
Source: RNAcentral
UGUUGACCUCGAAUCAGGUAGGAAUACCCGCUGAACUUAAGCAUAUCAAUAAGCGGAGGAAAAGAAAACCAACCAA